RNAcentral lists this ribosomal RNA (468 nucleotides) under uncultured bacterium. RNAcentral describes it as "partial 16S ribosomal RNA". It matches the Rfam family "Bacterial small subunit ribosomal RNA", at positions 28 to 507 of the family's 1533-position model. The record is from RNAcentral.
GACGAACGCUGGCGGCGUGCUUAACACAUGCAAGUCGAACGGAAAGGCCCUGCUUUUGUGGGGUGCUCGAGUGGCGAACGGGUGAGUAACACGUGAGUAACCUGCCCUUGACUUUGGGAUAACUUCAGGAAACUCGGGCUAAUAUCGGAUAGGAGCUCCUGCUGCAUGGUGGGGGAUGGAAAGAUUCGGCGGUUGGGGAUGGACUCGCGGCUUAUCAGCUUGUUGGUGGGGUAGUGGCUUACCAAGGCUUUGACGGGUAGCCCGCCUGAGAGGGUGACCGGGCACAAGGGUACUGAGGUACGGCCCAGACUCCUACGGGAGGCAACAGUGGGGAAUAUUGCACAGUGGGCGGGAGCCUGAUGCAGCGACGCCGCGUGCGGGAUGACGGCCUUCGAGUUGUAAACCACUUUCGCCUGUGACGAAGCGUGAGUGACGGUAAUGGGUAAAGAAGCACCGGCUAACUACGUG